GAAAUGUGAUACGUAAUGUGAAUUGCAGAAUUCAGUGAAUCAUCGAAUCUUUGAACGCACCUUGCGCCCUUUGGUGUUCCGAAGGGCACACCCGUUUGAGUGUCGUGACAUCCUCAAACCUUCUUGGUUUCUUGACCAGGAAGGCUUUGGACUCUGGAGUUUCUUGCUGGCUUUCCUUUGUUGAAGCCAGCUCCUCUAAAAUGAAUUAGUGGGAUCUGCUUUGCCGAUCCUUGACGUGAUAAGAUAUUUCUACGUCUUGGGUCUCGCACUGUUUGCUCUGGAUCUUGCUUCUAACUGUCUUAUACAAAGACAAAUCGUCGAGUGACUACCACUUGGCCCACAAAACCUUGACCUCAAAAUCGGGUGAGACUACCCGCUGAACUUAAGCAUAUCAAUAAAGCGGAGGAAAAAGGAACUAAACAAAGGAUUCCCCUAGU
Molecule: ribosomal RNA, 437 nt
Filed under: uncultured Russulaceae
Lineage: Eukaryota; Fungi; Basidiomycota; Agaricomycetes; Russulales; Russulaceae
Description: eukaryotic LSU rRNA
Rfam family: 5.8S ribosomal RNA (bases 1-105)
Source: RNAcentral